GGAUUAUUUUUAUCACCCUUGUCUUUUGCGCACUUGUUGUUUCCUGGGCGGGUUCGCCCGCCACCAGGACCACACCAUAAACCUUUUUUAUGCAGUUGCAAUCAGCGUCAGUAUAACAAAUGUAAAUCAUUUACAACUUUCAACAACGGAUCUCUUGGUUCUGGCAUCGAUGAAGAACGCAGCGAAAUGCGAUACGUAGUGUGAAUUGCAGAAUUCAGUGAAUCAUCGAAUCUUUGAACGCACAUUGCGCCCUUUGGUAUUCCAAAGGGCAUGCCUGUUCGAGCGUCAUUUGUACCCUCAAGCUUUGCUUGGUGUUGGGCGUCUUUUGUCUUUGGCCUCGCCCAAAGACUCGCCUUAAAACGAUUGGCAGCCGGCCUACUGGUUUCGCAGCGCAGCACAUUUUUGCGCUUGCAAUCAGCACAAGGACGGCAAUCCAUCAAGACUACAUUUUUACGUUUGACCUCGGAUCAGGUAGGGAUACCCGCUGAACUUAAGCAUAU
Molecule: ribosomal RNA, 500 nt
Filed under: Curvularia sp. SQU-KH34
Lineage: Eukaryota; Fungi; Ascomycota; Dothideomycetes; Pleosporales; Pleosporaceae
Description: eukaryotic LSU rRNA
Rfam family: 5.8S ribosomal RNA (bases 135-288)
Source: RNAcentral